This is a long non-coding RNA of Portunus trituberculatus (swimming crab), 1281 nucleotides long. RefSeq lists it as uncharacterized. The record is from RefSeq and is a predicted model, not a curated record. The transcript has 3 exons. Lineage: Eukaryota; Metazoa; Arthropoda; Malacostraca; Decapoda; Portunidae.
GGUGGCGGCAGGCAGGUGACGUCGAGUCCCUCUCGGCCAGCGUGGGGAAGUGGCCUCGGCGGCCAGUCACUCAGGCGAGCGAGUGCGGGAGGGAACCGGCAUCCAGCGUGCGGCCCGGCCCAGUGCCACGCUACAUGGCCUGUGCCUCGCUCACCUCCCUCCUCAGCAGCGCCAGGGCACCUGUCCCUUUUGAUUUGCUGGUCUUUCCGAAGUUUUCAGUGUCGUGUCGCGUGGAUUAGAAGGAUCAAGAUCUGUUGCAGUGCAGGCAGAUGACAAAAUGAAGGAGCAUGGCGUGUAAUUAAUGCCAGUCCGGGUAUCACCAGAGCUAGUGGUGCUGUGUGUAGGUGAGUGGGCCACACGGCGGCCUCCAGCAGUAUGUGAACCCGGCGGGGGUGUGGGCCGCCUUGGACUGCUGGUGAAGGUUCCCACACCUCGCAUCGACUGACCGGUUCGGGAUGACCGCCGCCACCACCACCACCACCACCCCCAGCCCGGGCACAGCACCCUCCUCUCCUCUUACCGAGGCCAAAGAUGAUCAAACCCUGUGAGAAAAAAAAAAAAAAAAAAAAAUUGGUGGUUGCUUUUCGAAUGAGAUUUGUCCUGAUUGGGGUGUGUGGAGGAGUGGAGUGUGUGAAGUGAUCAAGGCCUUUGAAUUAAUAGUGAGACAGCCUUGGCGUGGAUGGCGCGCCUCUGUGGGGGUCGUGUGAGGCCGAGGCCAGUGGAAUCAACGCCCCUUGACGCCAGUGUGUCACCAAACCUACCUUGUCUGUCGAUCCUUGACAAGCUUUAGUGUCUCCGUGCAGGAAAAAAGGAGAAAAUAAAAUAAACAGAAACCAGCAGUAUAUAUUAAUGGCUGAAAAAUAAUAGUAUUAAUUUUGCCAAAGUACUGUAUAGUGUGUAGCUGCGUGUGUGUUUACCUCUCAGACCCGCCAGAGCCUCGGGUCGUCGCUUCCUCAUAUUAACGCCUGUGUUGUGUGUGUGUUUGUGUAUCGCCAAGGUGCCAAAAUAGUUAUAAUAAUAAUAAAGAUAAUAAUAAUAAUAAUAAUAAUAAUAGUAAUAAUAGUAAUAGUAAUUGAAAAAGAGUGUUCUCGCUUAAGCUUAUGCGGGCAUCAUCCUGUUCUCUGGAUUACUUGAGUGGAUUAACACCUCUUGGAUAUUCUUUUUGGAGCUUCGCCUGGAGCCUGGACUCGCCUUCCGCCUCCAGCCAUGAUCUCGUGUAAUGCCAACGCGGGCAGCUUCAUCAAGCCUGAACGGUCGUCGGGCAACACCAAUACACGGUCA